Anneissia japonica is the source of this 338-nucleotide long non-coding RNA. RefSeq lists it as uncharacterized. The transcript has 3 exons. The record is from RefSeq and is a predicted model, not a curated record. Lineage: Eukaryota; Metazoa; Echinodermata; Crinoidea; Comatulida; Comatulidae.
GGAAGACCGUGGCAUUACGGUCGAAAAUUUCACGAAUUUCCUUUGAGUGUUUCUUGGAUCGAUAAAUUCCAUAAGCUGUGGCUAAGAACAGAGAACUGUUUAAAAACAAAAUUAUAGACAUGGGAAUUCCAAGGAAUAGGAACACAGAAAACUCGCCAAGUAUCCAGCAAACGGUAUCGUCACCAUACAGAAAAUGAAAAGAGGUCAAAUUGCUGUCAAGAAUAUGAAUUGGCUGCUUCGCAGCAAUUAAAUGAAUCACUGACUGGGAUUUUCUGAAGGAGAUCGUCUGGAUUUGGUUUCUCACAUUUUGACCAAUUGACAUAAUCAAUGGUAUUUGG